GAUGAACGCUGGCGGCGUGCCUAAUACACGCAAGUCGAGCGAAUGGACGAGAAGCUUGCUUCUCUGAUGUUAGCGGCGGACGGGUGAGUAACACGUGGAUAACCUACCUAUAAGACUGGGAUAACUUCGGGAAACCGUAGCUAAUACCGGAUAAUAUUUUGAACCGCAUGGUUCAAAAGUGAAAGACGGUCUUGCUGUCACUUAUAGAUGGAUCCGCGCUGCAUUAGCUAGUUGGUAAGGUAACGGCUUACCAAGGCAACGAUGCAUAGACGACCUGAGAGGGUGAUCGGCCACACUGGAACUGAGCCAGCGUCCAGACUCCUACGGGAGGCAGCAGUAGGGAAUCUUCCGCAAUGGGCGAAAGCCUGACGGAGCAACGCCGCGUGAGUGAUGAAGGUCUUCGGAUCGUAAAACUCUGUUAUUAGGGAAGAACAUAUGUGUAAGUAACUGUGCACAUCUUGACGGUACCUAAUCAGAAAGCCACGGCUAACUACGUG
Molecule: ribosomal RNA, 497 nt
Filed under: uncultured bacterium
Lineage: Bacteria
Description: partial 16S ribosomal RNA
Rfam family: Bacterial small subunit ribosomal RNA
Source: RNAcentral